GACGAACGCUGGCGGCGUGCUUAACACAUGCAAGUCGAACGGAAAGGCCCAGCUUUUGUGGGGUGCUCGAGUGGCGAACGGGUGAGUAACACGUGAGUAACCUGCCCUUGACUUUGGGAUAACUUCAGGAAACUGGGGCUAAUACCGGAUAGGAGCUCCUGCUGCAUGGUGGGGGUUGGAAAGUUUCGGCGGUUGGGGAUGGACUCGCGGCUUAUCAGCUCGUUGGUGGGGUAGUGGCUUACCAAGGCUUUGACGGGUAGCCGGCCUGAGAGGGUAACCGGCGACAUUGGGACUGAGAGACGGCCCAGACUCCUACGGGGGGCAGCAGUGGGGAAUAUUGCACAAUGGGCGGAAGCCUGAUGCAGCAACGCCGCGUGCGGGAUGACGGCCUUCGGGUUGUAAACCGCUUUCGCCUGUGACGAAGCGUGAGUGACGGUAAUGGGUAAAGAAGCACCGGCUAACUACGUG
Molecule: ribosomal RNA, 468 nt
Filed under: uncultured bacterium
Lineage: Bacteria
Description: partial 16S ribosomal RNA
Rfam family: Bacterial small subunit ribosomal RNA
Source: RNAcentral